Molecule: ribosomal RNA, 537 nt
Filed under: uncultured bacterium
Lineage: Bacteria
Description: bacterial SSU rRNA
Rfam family: Bacterial small subunit ribosomal RNA
Source: RNAcentral
ACUCCUACGGGAGGCAGCAGUGGGGAAUUUUGGACAAUGGACGCAAGUCUGAUCCAGCAAUGCCGCGUGCAGGACGAAGGCCUUCGGGUUGUAAACUGCUUUUGUACGGAACGAAAAGCCUUCUUCUAAUACAGGAGGGUCAUGACGGUACCGUAAGAAUAAGCACCGGCUAACUACGUGCCAGCAGCCGCGGUAAUACGUAGGGUGCAAGCGUUAAUCGGAAUUACUGGGCGUAAAGCGUGCGCAGGCGGUUGUGCAAGACAGGUGUGAAAUCCCCGAGCUUAACUUGGGAAUUGCACUUGUGACUGCACGGCUAGAGUGCGGCAGAGGGGGAUGGAAUUCCGCGUGUAGCAGUGAAAUGCGUAGAUAUGCGGAGGAACACCGAUGGCGAAGGCAAUCCCCUGGGCCUGCACUGACGCUCAUGCACGAAAGCGUGGGGAGCAAACAGGAUUAGAUACCCUGGUAGUCCACGCCCUAAACGAUGUCAACUGGUUGUUGGGAAUUAACUUUCUCAGUAACGAAGCUAACGCGUGAAGU